UUUUCUACAACACAACACACACAUACACUACUAUAUUAACACAUUAACACACACACGAAGAAGAGACAUUUCUUUUUCUGCCAACUACAAAAAGAAAAAGAAAAAAUAGGCACCAAAACAACACAGAAAAAAAAAAACGUACAGAAAAAAGGAAAAAAAACAAAAAAACCAAAGAAGACAAUACAACCAAUAUACACACAAACACCACACCAAACGUACAAGAAAAACCAAAAAAACAAAAAAAAAACGCAGCAAUGAGAAG
Molecule: long non-coding RNA, 262 nt
Filed under: Solanum tuberosum (potato)
Lineage: Eukaryota; Viridiplantae; Streptophyta; Magnoliopsida; Solanales; Solanaceae
Description: long non-coding RNA (STUB_LNC007913)
Source: RNAcentral